RNAcentral lists this ribosomal RNA (253 nucleotides) under uncultured bacterium. RNAcentral describes it as "partial 16S ribosomal RNA". It matches the Rfam family "Bacterial small subunit ribosomal RNA", at positions 524 to 776 of the family's 1533-position model. The record is from RNAcentral.
UACGUAGGGUGCGAGCGUUAAUCGGAAUUACUGGGCGUAAAGUGUGCGCAGGCGGCUGAGCAAGUCGAGUGUGAAAGCCCCGAGCUUAACUUGGGAACUGCGCUCGAAACUACUUGGCUAGAGUGUGGCAGAGGGAGGUGGAAUUCCACGUGUAGCGGUGAAAUGCGCAGAUAUCAGGAGGAACACCAAUGGCGAAGGCAGCUCUCUGGUACGUGACUGACACUGAGACGCGAAAGCGUGGGGAGCGAACAGG